Molecule: ribosomal RNA, 279 nt
Filed under: uncultured bacterium
Lineage: Bacteria
Description: partial 16S ribosomal RNA
Rfam family: Bacterial small subunit ribosomal RNA
Source: RNAcentral
UGCCAGCAGCCGCGGUAAUACGGAGGGGGUUAGCGUUGUUCGGAAUUACUGGGCGUAAAGCGCACGUAGGCGGAUUAGUAAGUUAGGGGUGAAAUCCCGGGGCUCAACCCCGGAACUGCCUCUAAUACUGCUAGUCUUGAGUUCGAGAGAGGUGAGUGGAAUUCCGAGUGUAGAGGUGAAAUUCGUAGAUAUUAGGAAGAACAUCAGUGGCGAAGGCGACUCACUGGUCCGAUACUGACGCUGAGGUGCGAAAGCGUGGGGAGCGAAAGGGAUUAGAUA